Molecule: transfer RNA, 77 nt
Filed under: bacterium
Lineage: Bacteria
Also listed under: 1 other name
Description: tRNA-Pro
Source: RNAcentral
UUAAGCGUUGCGCAGCCUGGUAGCGCACUAUACACGGAGUGUAGUGGUCGUGGGUUCGAUUUCCGCCGCUCCAACCA